RNAcentral lists this non-coding RNA (45 nucleotides) under Schistosoma margrebowiei. The record is from RNAcentral. Lineage: Eukaryota; Metazoa; Platyhelminthes; Trematoda; Strigeidida; Schistosomatidae.
AUCCAGCUGAGGAGUCUCAAAUAGGAUGAAACGCACGUCCUGGAU